Molecule: unclassified non-coding RNA, 287 nt
Filed under: plant metagenome
Description: partial contains small subunit ribosomal RNA, internal transcribed spacer 1, and 5.8S ribosomal RNA
Rfam family: Eukaryotic small subunit ribosomal RNA (bases 1-55)
Source: RNAcentral
GGAAGUAAAAGUCGUAACAAAGGUUUCCGUAGGUGAACCUGCGGAAGGAUCAUUAUUGAAACUUCAUCCGGGGCGCCGCGGCCCUCAGCACCGGUGGAAACGCCGUGCUGCGGGGGCCGCGCGUGCACUCGUCCAAACCAAACCCCUGUGAACCUUACGGGAUGGCCCGGGUUAGCGCCCGGUGCCGUUCCGCUUUAUACAAACACUUAUCAAAGAAUGAACUGAAGGCGGUCUGACCGCUGGAUAACAAACUGAAACAACUUUCAACAACGGAUCUCUUGGCUCUC